GACGAACGCUGGCGGCGUGCCUAAUACAUGCAAGUAGAACGCUGAAGGAGGAGCUUGCUUCUCUGGAUGAGUUGCGAACGGGUGAGUAACGCGUAGGUAACCUGCCUGGUAGCGGGGGAUAACUAUUGGAAACGAUAGCUAAUACCGCAUAAGAGUAGAUGUUGCAUGACAUUUGCUUAAAAGGUGCAAUUACAUCACUACCAGAUGGACCUGCGUUGUAUUAGCUAGUUGGUGGGGUAACGGCUCACCAAGGCGACGAUACAUAGCCGACCUGAGAGGGUGAUCGGCCACCCUGGGACUGAGACACGGCCCAGACUCCUACGGGAGGCAGCAGUAGGGAAUCUUCGGCAAUGGACGGAAGUCUGACCGAGCAACGCCGCGUGAGUGAAGAAGGUUUUCGGAUCGUAAAGCUCUGUUGUAAGAGAAGAACGAGUGUGAGAGUGGAAAGUUCACACUGUGACGGUAUCUUACCAGAAAGGGACGGCUAACUACGUG
RNAcentral lists this ribosomal RNA (495 nucleotides) under uncultured bacterium. RNAcentral describes it as "partial 16S ribosomal RNA". It matches the Rfam family "Bacterial small subunit ribosomal RNA", at positions 28 to 507 of the family's 1533-position model. The record is from RNAcentral.